RNAcentral lists this ribosomal RNA (726 nucleotides) under uncultured Lachnospiraceae bacterium. RNAcentral describes it as "bacterial SSU rRNA". It matches the Rfam family "Bacterial small subunit ribosomal RNA", at positions 28 to 767 of the family's 1533-position model. The record is from RNAcentral. Lineage: Bacteria; Bacillati; Bacillota; Clostridia; Lachnospirales; Lachnospiraceae.
GACGAACGCUGGCGGCGCGCCUAACACAUGCAAGUCGAACGAGCGAGAGAGAGCUUGCUUUCUCGAGCGAGUGGCGAACGGGUGAGUAACGCGUGAGGAACCUGCCUCAAAGAGGGGGACAACAGUUGGAAACGACUGCUAAUACCGCAUAAGCCCACGGCUCGGCAUCGAGCAGAGGGAAAAGGAGCAAUCCGCUUUGAGAUGGCCUCGCGUCCGAUUAGCUAGUUGGUGAGGUAACGGCCCACCAAGGCAACGAUCGGUAGCCGGACUGAGAGGUUGAACGGCCACAUUGGGACUGAGACACGGCCCAGACUCCUACGGGAGGCAGCAGUGGGGAAUAUUGCACAAUGGGGGAAACCCUGAUGCAGCGACGCCGCGUGGAGGAAGAAGGUCUUCGGAUUGUAAACUCCUGUUGUUGGGGAAGAUAAUGACGGUACCCGACAAGGAAGUGACGGCUAACUACGUGCCAGCAGCCGCGGUAAAACGUAGGUCACAAGCGUUGUCCGGAAUUACUGGGUGUAAAGGGAGCGCAGGCGGGAAGACAAGUUGGAAGUGAAAUCUAUGGGCUCAACCCAUAAAUUGCUUUCAAAACUGUUUUUCUUGAGUAGUGCAGAGGUAGGCGGAAUUCCCGGUGUAGCGGUGGAAUGCGUAGAUAUCGGGAGGAACACCAGUGGCGAAGGCGGCCUACUGGGCACCAACUGACGCUGAGGCUCGAAAGUGUGGGUA